CCUACGGGGGGCAGCAGUGGGGAAUAUUGGACAAUGGGUGGAACCCUGAUCCAGCCAUGCCGCGUGUGUGAAGAAGGCCCUCGGGUUGUAAAGCACUUUCAGUGAGGAAGAACGCCUGGUGGUUAAUACCCAUCAGGAAAGACAUCACUCACAGAAGAAGCACCGGCUAACUCCGUGCCAGCAGCCGCGGUAAUACGGAGGGUGCGAGCGUUAAUCGGAAUUACUGGGCGUAAAGCGCGCGUAGGUGGCUUGAUAAGCCGGUUGUGAAAGCCCCGGGCUCAACCUGGGAACGGCAUCCGGAACUGUCAAGCUAGAGUGCAGGAGAGGAAGGUAGAAUUCCCGGUGUAGCGGUGAAAUGCGUAGAGAUCGGGAGGAAUACCAGUGGCGAAGGCGGCCUUCUGGACUGACACUGACACUGAGGUGCGAAAGCGUGGGUAGCAAACAGGAUUAGAUACCCGUGUAGUC
RNAcentral lists this ribosomal RNA (465 nucleotides) under Vreelandella stevensii. Its description in RNAcentral is "partial 16S ribosomal RNA". It matches the Rfam family "Bacterial small subunit ribosomal RNA", at positions 338 to 795 of the family's 1533-position model. The record is from RNAcentral. Lineage: Bacteria; Pseudomonadati; Pseudomonadota; Gammaproteobacteria; Oceanospirillales; Halomonadaceae.